This is a long non-coding RNA of Esox lucius (northern pike), 1107 nucleotides long. Lineage: Eukaryota; Metazoa; Chordata; Actinopteri; Esociformes; Esocidae. The record is from Ensembl.
GGUUUACUUACUAAUACUCAUCCGUAUUAGUAAACACCUAAACUCACAUCAAGAUGAGUGAUGCUGUUGUACGGAAAAAAUAUAUAUAUAAUUUCCAAAGAUGCAUUGUUGAGCUGGGGGAUGCUGUUGCCUGGGUAAAUGCCAACAUGGGCCUUUUCUGAGACUGGGUAGUCCUCACCCCUGAAUGAUGAGGAAAUACAGGGUGCUCUGCAGAUGCUCAGAGAGGCUUCAACUCUAGAGGAAGAACAAGAAGCUCUCUCCCAUUCAUGAUUUUGUUUAAUAAUUUUGAAGACACUGAAACAUUCAUAGACAAAAUAGACAAAAGAGGACUUAAUGAUAAUUUUGAGCUUCCCUGUUAAUUAUGUUUGUUGAUGAGGAUACCUAUUACCUGUCUUUAAACCAUCAGCUAAUGCUGGGUUCCACACAACAAAAAUUACAAGAUCCAGAAAACACAAUAUAAUUUGACGAGACAAAGAGACAAGGAACAUCAUUUAUUUAGCAAGAGUAAACUGGACAGUGUUUUGGAAGUGUUCACCUGGCCAUACAACAUGAUAGGAUGAAUCCAAAGCCUACAGAAUCUGGGCAAAGCUGAAUACACAGUACAUAAAGAAACAGUUUAGUUUUGACAGUGUUGGAAUGUAAUGUUUAGAAUAUUUAAUGGGGUAAUUAAAUGUUUAAUUGUCUAACUGGCAUAUCAUUUAAUUUUGUAUUUCUUAGGUUUAUGCCAUUAACUUUAAGAUUUUGGGCUAUAUUAAUUGACUUUCAAUAAUGUAUGUUGUGCUCCUUUUGACCUGUUCUACUUGUAAUUUAUGCUAUUGAAACAACUUUUAGGAUAAGGGUUAAAUUAGAUGUAACACAUAUUCCUCCCAACAAUGUUUUAAGUCCAUAACCACGUCAUUACUAUAUAAUAAAAAUUGUGCUUGUUCCAGGCACCCCUGGAUAAAUGUAUGGUUCUGUAAACAGAUGUUGACCUGACCUCUAAAUUAUGCAAAUUGAAACAUGCCACCUUUCUGCAACAGGCUAUAGAAAAUUCCACACUUCCAGUUACCAAUUUCAGCUUUCUAGAAGAUUGCUGUUCAAUUGAACAAUGCAAGUCAGAGGAAGGAG